GGUAUAGUUCUUCGGAACUAGAGACCGGCGCACGGGUGCGUAACGCGUAUGCAAUCUACCUUUUACAGAGGGAUAGCCCAGAGAAAUUUGGAUUAAUACCUCAUAGCAUAGCAAUCUCGCAUGAGAUCACUAUUAAAGUCACAACGGUAAAAGAUGAGCAUGCGUCCCAUUAGCUAGUUGGUAAGGUAACGGCUUACCAAGGCUACGAUGGGUAGGGGUCCUGAGAGGGAGAUCCCCCACACUGGUACUGAGACACGGACCAGACUCCUACGGGAGGCAGCAGUGAGGAAUAUUGGACAAUGGGCGCAAGCCUGAUCCAGCCAUGCCGCGUGCAGGAUGACGGUCCUAUGGAUUGUAAACUGCUUUUAUACGAGAAGAAACACUCCAACGUGUUGGAGCUUGACGGUAUCGUAAGAAUAAGGAUCGGCUAACUCCGUGCCAGCAGCCGCGGUAAUACGGAGGAUCCAAGCGUUAUCCGGAAUCAUUGGGGUUAAAGGGGUCCGUAGGCGGUUUAGUAAGUCAGUGGUGAAAGCCCAUCGCUCAACGGUGGAACGGCCAUUGAUACUGCUAAACUUGAAUUAUUAGGAAGUAACUAGAAUAUGUAGUGUAGCGGUGAAAUGCUUAGAGAUUACAUGGAAUACCAAUUGCGAAGGCAGGUUACUACUAAUGGAUUGACGCUGAUGGACGAAAGCGUGGGUAGCGAACAGGAUUAGAUACCCUGGUAGUCCACGCCGUAAACGAUGGAUACUAGCUGUUGGGAGCAAUCUCAGUGGCUAAGCGAAAGUGAUAAGUAUCCCACCUGGGGAGUACGUUCGCAAGAAUGAAACUCAAAGGAAUUGACGGGGGCCCGCACAAGCGGUGGAGCAUGUGGUUUAAUUCGAUGAUACGCGAGGAACCUUACCAAGGCUUAAAUGUAGAUUGACCGGUUUGGAAACAGAUCUUUCGCAAGACAAUUUACAAGGUGCUGCAUGGUUGUCGUCAGCUCGUGCCGUGAGGUGUCAGGUUAAGUCCUAUAACGAGCGCAACCCCUGUUGUUAGUUGCCAGCGAGUCAUGUCGGGAACUCUAACAAGACUGCCAGUGCAAACUGUGAGGAAGGUGGGGAUGACGUCAAAUCAUCACGGCCCUUACGCCUUGGGC
Molecule: ribosomal RNA, 1138 nt
Filed under: Flavobacterium sp.
Lineage: Bacteria; Pseudomonadati; Bacteroidota; Flavobacteriia; Flavobacteriales; Flavobacteriaceae
Description: bacterial SSU rRNA
Rfam family: Bacterial small subunit ribosomal RNA
Source: RNAcentral